Molecule: ribosomal RNA, 497 nt
Filed under: uncultured bacterium
Lineage: Bacteria
Description: partial 16S ribosomal RNA
Rfam family: Bacterial small subunit ribosomal RNA
Source: RNAcentral
GAUGAACGCUGGCGGCGUGCCUAAUACAUGCAAGUCGAGCGAACGGACGAGAAGCUUGCGUCUCUGAUGUUAGCGGCGGACGGGUGAGUCACACGUGGAUAACCUACCUAUAUGACUGGGAUAACUUCGGGAAACCGGAGAUAAUACCGGAUAAUAUUUUGAACCGCAUUGUUCAAAAGUGAAAUACGGUCUUGCUGGCACUUAUAGAUGGAUAUGGGCUGCAUUAGCUAGUUGGUAAGGUAACGGCUUUCCAAGGCAACGAUGCAUAUCCGACGUGAUAGAGUGGUAGCCCGCCCUGGAGGGUGAACGCGGACAUGGGUCCUACGGGAGGCAGCAGUAGCGAAUCUUCCGCAGUGGGCGAGAGCAUGGCGGAACGGCGCCGAGUGAGAGGUGGAGGUCUUGGGAUCGUGAAACUCUGUUAUUAGGGAUGAACAUAUGUGUAAGUAGCUGUGGACAUCUUGACGGUAACUGGUCAGAAAGCCACGGCUAACUACGUG